GCUUCUGUGGUGUAGUUGGUAGUGUCUAGGCUUAGUAAAUAUAAGUUGCAGGUUCAAGUCCUGGUAGAGACA
This is a non-coding RNA of Halocaridina rubra (Hawaiian volcano shrimp), 72 nucleotides long. Lineage: Eukaryota; Metazoa; Arthropoda; Malacostraca; Decapoda; Atyidae. The record is from the annotation of a GenBank genome assembly.